Molecule: ribosomal RNA, 465 nt
Filed under: uncultured bacterium
Lineage: Bacteria
Description: partial 16S ribosomal RNA
Rfam family: Bacterial small subunit ribosomal RNA
Source: RNAcentral
GACGAACGCUGGCGGCGUGCUUAACACAUGCAAGUCGAACGGAAAGGCCCCCUUGUGGGGUACUCGAGUGGCGAACGGGUGAGUAACACGUGAGUAACCUACCCUUGACUUUGGGAUAACUUCAGGAAACUGGGGCUAAUACCGGAUAGGAGCUCCUGCUGCAUGGUGGGGGUUGGAAAGUUUCGGCGGUUGGGGAUGGACUCGCGGCUUAUCAGCUUGUUGGUGGGGUAGUGGCCCACCAAGGCUUUGACGGGUAGCCGGCCUGAGAGGGUGACCGGCCACAUUGGGACUGAGAUACGGCCCAGACUCCUACGGGAGGCAGCAGUGGGGAAGAUUGCACAAUGGGCGGAAGCCUGAUGCAGCAACGCCGCGUGCGGGAUGACGGCCUUCGGGUUGUAAACCGCUUUCGCCUGUGACGAAGCGUGAGUGACGGUAAUGGGUAAAGAAGCACCGGCUAACUACGUG